RNAcentral lists this ribosomal RNA (442 nucleotides) under uncultured bacterium. Its description in RNAcentral is "partial 16S ribosomal RNA". It matches the Rfam family "Bacterial small subunit ribosomal RNA", at positions 338 to 795 of the family's 1533-position model. The record is from RNAcentral.
CCUACGGGAGGCAGCAGUGGGGAAUAUUGGGCAAUGGGCGCAAGCCUGACCCAGCAACGCCGCGUGAAGGAAGAAGGCUUUCGGGUUGUAAACUUCUUUUAUCAGGGACGAAGCAAGUGACGGUACCUGAGGAGGAAGCCACGGCUAACUACGUGCCAGCAGCCGCGGUAAUACGUAGGUGGCGAGCGUUGUCCGGAUUUACUGGGCGUAAAGGGAGCGUAGGCGGACUGCAAGUCAGAUGUGAAAAUUAUGGGCUCAACCCAUAACCUGCAUUUGAAACUGUAGUUCUUGAGUGAUGGAGAGGCAGGCGGAAUUACGUGUGUAGCGGUGAAAUGCGUAGAUAUACGGAGGAACACCAGUGGCGAAGGCGGCCUGCUGGACAUUAACUGACGCUGAGGCGCGAAAGCGUGGGGAGCAAACAGGAUUAGAUACCCUAGUAGUC